UACAGAGGUCUCAAGCGUUGUUCGGAUUCAUUGGGCGUAAAGGGAGCGUAGGCGGUCGGGUAAGUCGGAUGUGAAAUCCUGGGGCUCAACCUCAGAACUGCAUUCGAUACUGCUUGGCUAGAGGACUGGAGAGGUGAGUGGAAUUCACGGUGUAGCGGUGAAAUGCGUAGAUAUCGGGAGGAAGACCAGCGGCGAAGGCGGCUCACUGGACUGUACCUGACGCUGAUGCGCGAAGGCCAGGGGAGCAAACGGG
Molecule: ribosomal RNA, 253 nt
Filed under: uncultured bacterium
Lineage: Bacteria
Description: partial 16S ribosomal RNA
Rfam family: Bacterial small subunit ribosomal RNA
Source: RNAcentral